ACUACGUCAUUGCGGAUCUCGUGGUUUCGAGAAGGGGGGUGCCAGCACAUAAUGAGUACUUGGUAAAAUGGAAAGACCUCCCCGAGAGCGAAUCCACAUGGGAAUGAGAAAAAGACCUGUGGCAAUUCGCUGAGCACAUAAGAGCGAAUCCACAUGGGAACAAGAAAAAGAUCCGUGGCAAUUCGCUGAGCACAUCCGGAAUUUCAAGCAUCAGAGCGCGACGAGGACGUCGCGAGCUUAGGUGGGGGAGGAUGUUGCGGACCGCCCAAGUUGAUAGCCCAAUCAUCCACAAUCUUGGGCUAGAGAUUCAACACAAGGCCAAGAGUCCAAGCUUGGCCCAAUUCCGGAACAUUCUAGACAACUCUAGCACAUUGGAGCUUGUAAAUAUUCUAGAACUCUCUAGAACUCUCCAGAACUCUCUAGAACUCUGUAGAGCUCUCUAGAGCUCUCUAGAACUCUCUAGACCUCUAUUGAACAUUCUAGAAUUCUCCAUUGAAUUCUAGCACAUGUAUC
Molecule: long non-coding RNA, 513 nt
Filed under: Nicotiana benthamiana
Lineage: Eukaryota; Viridiplantae; Streptophyta; Magnoliopsida; Solanales; Solanaceae
Description: long non-coding RNA (NBEN_LNC017677)
Source: RNAcentral